RNAcentral lists this ribosomal RNA (253 nucleotides) under uncultured bacterium. Its description in RNAcentral is "partial 16S ribosomal RNA". It matches the Rfam family "Bacterial small subunit ribosomal RNA", at positions 524 to 776 of the family's 1533-position model. The record is from RNAcentral.
UACGUAGGGUGCAAGCGUUGUCCGGAAUUAUUGGGCGUAAAGAGCUCGUAGGCGGUCUGUCGCGUCUGCUGUGAAAACUCAGGGCUUAACCCUGAGCUUGCAGUGGGUACGGGCAGACUAGAGUGCGGUAGGGGAGACUGGAAUUCCUGGUGUAGCGGUGAAAUGCGCAGAUAUCGGGAAGAACACCCGUGGCGAAGGCGGUUCUCUGGGACGGUACUGACGCUGAGGAGCGAAAGCAUGGGGAGCGAACAGG